CAUGUCUUUUCGAUUAUAAUUUAAAGUCUGACCUGCCCUAUGAGUUAUUAAAUGGCUGCGGUAUUUUGACCGUGCAAAGGUAGCAUAGUAAUUAGUUUUUUAAUUGGGAACUGGUAUGAAUGGUUUGACGAGAAAAAUACUGUCUCGGUUUAAUUUAAAUUAGAAUUUUAUUUUUAAGUAAAAAAGCUUAAAUUAACUUAAAAGACGAGAAGACCCUAUAGAAUUUUAUAUUUUUAUUAAUUUUUGAAAGUUAAAGAAUUUAAGAUUUAAUUAUUAGUAAAAUUAUUUGGUUGGGGCAACUAAAAAAUUUAAUAAACUUUUUUUAUGAUAAAAACAUUAAUAUAUGAUUAAGUGAUCCAUAAAUUAUGAUUAAAAGAUUAAAUUACCUUAGGGAUAACAGCGUAAUUUUUUUUAGAGUUCUUAUUGAAAAAAAAGUUUGCGACC
This 444-nucleotide ribosomal RNA is filed under the name Dichotomius parcepunctatus. Its description in RNAcentral is "partial 16S ribosomal RNA". The record is from RNAcentral. Lineage: Eukaryota; Metazoa; Arthropoda; Insecta; Coleoptera; Scarabaeidae.